Long non-coding RNA from Esox lucius (northern pike), 2538 nucleotides. Lineage: Eukaryota; Metazoa; Chordata; Actinopteri; Esociformes; Esocidae. The record is from Ensembl.
CUCAUUAUGUCUGGAUGAGUGUAUCAAGUAGAUAGUUACCCCAAAUAAUGUCGUCUUUCUGAACCGAGACCUUCCAGGUGUUGAAAGGACUCAAGCAUUCAGUAUGGAAAUUCCAGUUUGACUUUAAGAAAGUAGUGAUUUCUGAACAUGCCAUAGUCCUAACUAGCACUGGUAAAUGAUACUGUCAUUUCAGAUAGAUGAUAAUGUAACCAGAGUGCAUCUUGUUAAAUAAAUAAUACUACAGUGAUGUUGGUAACAUCUCAGUCAGGCGUGUUAGUCCAGCUUUAAGUAUUCCAAUCUGCUCCUAUAGACCACCUUGAAUUAAUACUUCUCACCAUCUUACCUGUUGGUUUGAGGCCUCUCUCUCUCCCAUGCUCUGGCUACCUUUCUGACCAGUGUUAUUGGUAUGACAGCCUCCCUUCUGCAUAAAGUAAACACAUACAGUACAAUCCUAAAUUCAGCUGCUGUCCUUUUAUCUGAGAUCCUAUUCAAUGACUGAUUUACAUGAAUACUGAUCAACAGUCUGUCUUGGCGUGGCACUUAUCAAUGAUUUACCUGUUGGUUUGAGCCGGUUUGUUCAUGUCUGUCACUUCCCUGCCAUGAUAAUACAUAGCAUAAACCAAAUUCUUUAAAUAUUUAACAGACUUAAGUUAUAUCUACAUGAUUAUAAACAUCUAAACUGAAGAAAAAAAAUUGCCAGCUGUUGUGUGGAAAUUGUUACCAAGAAACUAAGAUACUCUCGAUUCUUGACUGGUGGUGGCACGACCAUUACUUAGCUAGCUACUUGUAGACCUCAUGGUGAUUGAGAUUGCGCAAAUAAUUUUAGCAGGCGUUCUUCCUUUCAAAUCAUUCACUCCUUUUCACACAGCCAUAGGACCUACUCUGUUAUCUAGCAAGCAAGCUAAUAGUACUGUAACGUUUGUUGGAUUAAACAUGAAAAUUAAGACAGCUAGCUAACUACGCCUUAAAUAUGUUUUUAGCCAGAAGAAAGCUUAUAUUUUAUCACGUUUGUUCAUUCUAUAGCUAUGAAAAUAUACGGACGUUUAUACAGGUUGUAGUUACUGUGAAAACAAAACUUACAGCUACAGUAAUCCACUUUGCUACAACAACUUAGACAGAAAAUAUUAUUAUCCUCCUGGACAAAAUUAUUACCAACUCACAUUCCCUUUCUUUCUUUUCUUCCCCAUGAGAAAGAAAUCUCUUAAAUUGAGCUGCUGCUGUCUUUUCAUCUUUACCUCUGACCAGUCGCCGGUCAACAGCUACAGACUCCCGCUUCCCAAGCACUCUGAGCCUGAGUCGUUGAGAGGCGGGCCGGAGGCAAGACGCUGUGUUGCGCUUUCAAAAUAAAAGCAAGCGAGUUACAGAUUUCAAAAUAAAAUAUUGUUCUCCUCCGCGGUAUAAUGUUUGGGUGGGACAAUUGCGACUGUCUCCAAUAUUGGAGGGGACACGUCCCCCCCGGUUCCUACGCUCUUGCAACUAGUUAUAGACCAAUAAAAAUGACACAACAUGUAUGGAAGAUUAUGGAGUGAAUGAUGCCUGAGAGACUAACUUAUUUAAUGGUAAAUAGGGUCUGGAACCACUUUAUCUGGAAGUGGAGGGGGACUAUGGACCCAGUGAUCUGAUUAGAAUUGAGGUUAGGAAGACAGAUGAACAAGGAGACAUUGUCUUUGAUGUAGAGAAGACGUGAUAUGUUGGAUAUAGAGGUUAAUAAUCACACCUGAGGGGUUCGGAGGUAGAGGUACAACUGGAAGGUCUGUUCAGGGUGGAGACAUCUGGGUCGUGUUGCUACAUGGUGGAGAGCAGAACCCUGCAUGGGAGCGUGGUUAGCCUGGUGCUGUUCUUCAUCAUCAUCUAUGAUGUUUACUGUCAGGUACAACCAGAUAUCGGCAGGUCGUUAUUUUGCAGAUGAUGCAGCCUGAAGGAAGAGAGGAAGAAACAUACAACAUGUAGUCAAGUCAGGAAGGUACCGGAAGCUGUUGAAGACAUGGAGCAGUGGGCAGUGAUGUGGAGGUUCAGGUUCUCUGUAGAGGAAACUCUGUCAGUGUUUUUCACCAGGUGGAGGUGAGAUAUGAUGGAUGUUGUAUAGGAGAGACUUAGAGAGGGUGGAGGUGAGAUAUGACUGAUGAUGUAUAGGAGAGACUUAGAAAGGGUGGAGGUGAGAUAUGAUGGAUGUUGUAUAGGAGAGACUUAGAGAGGGUGGAGGUGAGAUAUGACUGAUGAUGUAUAGGAGAGACCUAUAGAGGGUGGAGGUGAGAUAUGACUGAUGAUGUAUAGGAGAGACUUAGAGAGGGUGGAGGUGAGAUAUGACUGAUGAUGUAUAGGAGAGACUUAGAGAGGGUGGAGGUGAGAUAUGACUGAUGUUGUAUAGGAGAGACUUAGAGAGGGUGGAGGUGAGAUAUGACUGAUGAUGUAUAGGAGAGACUUAGAGAGGGUGGAGGUGUCCAGGUUCCUCUGAGAGUAUUUAGAUAGUAAAACACAUUGAAGGAGUGAUGGAAAAGUGGAAGAAUGUCCUGAAUGUGAUGCACUGACUGAAAGGGC